This 388-nucleotide ribosomal RNA is filed under the name uncultured bacterium. RNAcentral's name for it is "bacterial SSU rRNA". It matches the Rfam family "Bacterial small subunit ribosomal RNA", at positions 29 to 419 of the family's 1533-position model. The record is from RNAcentral.
AUUGAACGCUGGCGGAAUGCUUUACACAUGCAAGUCGAGCGGCAGCGCGGGGCAACCUGGCGGCGAGCGGCGAACGGGUGAGUAAUGCAUCGGAACAUGUCCAUGUCGUGGGGGAUAGCCCGGCGAAAGCCGGAUUAAUACCGCAUACGCCCGAGAGGGGAAAGUGGGGGACCGCAAGGCCUCACGCGAUUGGGUUGGCCGAUGUCCGAUUAGCUAGUUGGUGGGGUAAAGGCNCACCAAGGCGAUGAUCGGUAGCUGGUCUGAGAGGAUGAUCAGCCACACUGGGACUGAGACACGGCCCAGACUCCUACGGGAGGCAGCAGUGGGGAAUUUUGGACAAUGGGGGCAACCCUGAUCCAGCCAUUCCGCGUGAGUGAAGAAGGCCUGG